UACGAAGGGGGCUAGCGUUGUUCGGAAUUACUGGGCGUAAAGGGCGUGUAGGCGGCCCGUUAAGACAGGUGUGAAAUUCCUGGGCUCAACCCAGGACGUGCGCCUGUGACUGGCGGGCUUGAGUCCGGGAGAGGAUGGUGGAACUCCCAGAGUAGAGGUGAAAUUCGUAGAUAUUGGGAAGAACACCCGUGGCGAAGGCGGCCAUCUGGACCGGUACUGACGCUAAGGCGCGACAGCGUGGGGAGCAAACGGG
This 253-nucleotide ribosomal RNA is filed under the name uncultured bacterium. RNAcentral describes it as "partial 16S ribosomal RNA". It matches the Rfam family "Bacterial small subunit ribosomal RNA", at positions 524 to 776 of the family's 1533-position model. The record is from RNAcentral.